GUCUGCGUGCCCGCCCGCCCGCCGCGCGCGGCGGGCGAGUGUUCACACCGCAAGGAUGGCGUUUGCUUCAUCAAUGUUGUAAGUGAUGCACUUUUUCACUUGCAGGUCUGUUUCAGUUUGCUUUGCAGCCCAAAACCCCAAGGAAAGGUGGCAGCUUAGGCUGUGUUAUAGCCCUGGUGCUAUUCACUGAAGUGGACUGAGGUUUCGCAUUGUGUGCUUUCGGGCAAGGUUGACUGGGUGCUAUGGGAUCGUUCGGCGUACAAUGCAUGCAUUUUGCGUCUUGUCUUUUUCAUACUCGCUCAACUCAGCUCUUCCACACUUACGAUGUUGACUUAAUGGUUUUAAACGACCCGUCUUGAAACACGGACCAAGGAGUC
Molecule: ribosomal RNA, 377 nt
Filed under: uncultured fungus
Lineage: Eukaryota; Fungi
Description: eukaryotic LSU rRNA
Source: RNAcentral